ACUCAUGGAGAGUCUCAUUAUGUCUCACAUUCUUCUCUCUCAUCUAGCGUUCGCUUCCUUUCACCGUAGAAACCCUCACAGCUGAUUAGGUUUUCUUCAAUCUACAGAUGCCACAAAAUCCACCGAGAACAACGAAUCCAUUUUCAUAGUUUCCUCAAUACAAGCUUUCACCUGAACUGAACGGAUUGUUGAUUGGAGUGUCUCGGAAUUCAUCUUCUUCCUCUCUCGUUGCAGUAAUAAAGUUCUCUAACCUUUAUACUUCAUUUUCCUUCUACUUUUUUACGUUCUUCAUAUUCCGUAUUAAUUUCUUUCUUGCUUUAAAAAAUCCGAACUUAGAUUGUUGGGAACAGAAACGCCGUGUCGGAGACCUUACAGCUGCGAUGGUCAUCUUUAGUUUCAUGGGUAAGUCUUCUUCUUCCUUAAAUUGCUCAGUUAUUUUUAAAGAUUUGAAAAGUCCCAAAUUUCUAUUGAAACCCUAAUUUUCUUUUCUUUCAAAUCCAAUUUUGGCCUUUGAUUGUAUUAUUUUAUGGGUUAGUAUUUCGAUUUAUUUUGUCCUUUAUUCUGAUUUUGAGUAGGAAAUCAUGAAUCCUAAAAUUUUAAUUGAAGUUUAUGUCCCUACUAAAAAUGGAAUUUUUAUAAGAAGUUUCUCACUCUCUUCCAAAAGUUGAAGGAUAACAAUCUUUACAUUGAGAUUGAAUGGUUUGGUAAAGGCAGAACAACAUUAAUGCAUGACAAACAGGUAUGAAACACAACUAUGAGGAAAUAGUUUGAAUGAGAAAUUGAAAAGAAAAAGUAACAGGAUUGCAGUGUAUAAUCUAUGUAACUAAAAGGGAUCGGAUUCAUUGGUAAUCUGUUUAACUUAGAGAAUUGUCAUAGGAACUUGAUGUAGUGGUUAUGGGGCAGUAGCAGACAAUAGUGGAAAGUUCUUCUAUUUAUGUUACUAUUUUUUUAAACGACUUUUGGAUGUUGUGCGAAUGUUUGUUAGGUACAUGAAGGUGUUGUGGAAGACGUGACUUAUCAUUUGAGGCAUGAGGUUCUGUUCUAGCAACUGGUGUGUUGUUCUGUUCCAGCUUUUUUUCAAUAAAAAUGCUGAAUUUCUUCCAAGCAUUACGAGGUAAUUUCAUUGACUUUGAAGUGACAAUAUCAAUAGAAGCUUACUCUUGAUUUUGAUUCUAUAUAAUUAGGUGUCACUAUUCAAAUUGAGGAUGGAAAAUGUUUGAAUCCCAGAACAUAUGGAAAAAUAUGGAUUUUGAUAGAGAAGGAAUCAAUAUAGUUACCUCGAACAAUUUCUAGCUUAGCCAAUCUCUUCAUCAAAUAGGAGGUACACCAUACAACACAUUAUUAUGUUUAUUUGUAAUGGAUUCAACUAGCAAUUUUCUAAUUUUCAAUAUAUAACCUAUAGUUCAUUAUAAACACCCUCUUGAGCUAAAGAUAGAUAAAGUACCAUUUGAUAAUUGGAGUGUGUUCCUAGAGAAGAUAGGGAGGAUUCUUUGCUACAAGUGGUCUCUUCAGUGGUUGACUAGCUAGUUAGAGUUGAAUUAGAAAUUGGGCAAUUUGUAUUUUCAUUGUUUUAGUAUAUUUGACUAGUUUUGCUUAAGUUGUGGACUAUUCGUUAGAGAUAAUUUUGUAUUUAAUCUUUUUUACUGGUUUUAUUA
Vicia villosa (hairy vetch) is the source of this 1655-nucleotide long non-coding RNA. RefSeq lists it as uncharacterized. The record is from RefSeq and is a predicted model, not a curated record. NCBI's taxonomy places the organism in Eukaryota, Viridiplantae, Streptophyta, Magnoliopsida, Fabales, Fabaceae. The transcript has 2 exons.